UACGGAAGGCAGCAGUGGGGAAUAUUGCACAAUGGGCGCAAGCCUGAUGCAGCCAUGCCGCGUGUAUGAAGAAGGGCCUUCGGGUUGUAAAGUACUUUCAGUCGUGAGGAAGGUGUUAAGGUUAAUAACCUUAGCAAUUGACGUUAGCGACAGAAGAAGCACCGGCUAACUCCGUGCCAGCAGCCGCGGUAAUACGGAGGGUGCGAGCGUUAAUCGGAAUUACUGGGCAUAAAGGGCACGCAGGCGGUUAAUAAGUUGGAUGUGAAAUCCCCGGGCUUAACCUGGGAAUGGCAUUCAAGACUGGUUAGCUAGAGUCUUGUAGAGGGGGUUAGAAUUCCAUGUGUAGCGGUGAAAUGCGUAGAGAUGUGGAGGAAUACCGGUGGCGAAGGCGGGCCCCUGGGACAAAGGACUGACGCUCAUGUGCGAAAGCGUGGGGAGCAAACGAGGAUUAGGAUACC
Molecule: ribosomal RNA, 458 nt
Filed under: uncultured bacterium
Lineage: Bacteria
Description: bacterial SSU rRNA
Rfam family: Bacterial small subunit ribosomal RNA
Source: RNAcentral